GACGAACGCUGGCGGCGUGCUUAACACAUGCAAGUCGAACGGUAAGGCCCUUCGGGGUACACGAGUGGCGAACGGGUGAGUAACACGUGGGUGAUCUGCCCUGCACUUCGGGAUAAGCCUGGGAAACUGGGUCUAAUACCGGAUAGGACCACUGCCUGCAUGGGUGGUGGUGGAAAGCUUUUGCGGUGUGGGAUGGGCCCGCGGCCUAUCAGCUUGUUGGUGGGGUGAUGGCCUACCAAGGCGACGACGGGUAGCCGGCCUGAGAGGGUGACCGGCCACACUGGGACUGGGAUACGGCCCAGACUCCUACGGGAGGCAGCAGUGGAGAAUAUUGCACAAUGGGCGCAAGCCUGAUGCAGCGACGCCGCGUGAGGGAUGACGGCCUUCGGGUUGUAAACCUCUUUCAGCACCGACGAAGCGCAAGUGACGGUAGGUGCAGAAGAAGGACCGGCCAACUACGUGCCAGCCGCCGCCGCAG
This 478-nucleotide ribosomal RNA is filed under the name uncultured bacterium. Its description in RNAcentral is "partial 16S ribosomal RNA". It matches the Rfam family "Bacterial small subunit ribosomal RNA", at positions 28 to 523 of the family's 1533-position model. The record is from RNAcentral.